RNAcentral lists this non-coding RNA (28 nucleotides) under Bombyx mori (domestic silkworm). Lineage: Eukaryota; Metazoa; Arthropoda; Insecta; Lepidoptera; Bombycidae. The record is from RNAcentral.
UACCGUCUCAGGAGGUGGAAAGUCCAAU